AAGGGACCUGGUCUGCUGAUGCUACCAGCAAGUUUGUUACCCCUCAGACUGGAUGAAUGAAUAAAUAAUCUGAUAGAGACUUAUCCCACCAUCUGGCUCCUUAAGGGUUCCCUGUCUUUUACCUGUCUGCACAGGUAAAAGAUAUCUGGCUGCCAGGUUGAGAAAAUGUACCUGGGAGAAGCCUGGCAGGCCACUCUUUCCACAGAGCAGACGUGGAGAACAGGGUGCUUUUCUAAUUUAACGCAAUGAUUCUGAG
RNAcentral lists this long non-coding RNA (256 nucleotides) under Cyanistes caeruleus (blue tit). RNAcentral's name for it is "lncRNA (ENSCCEG00000009483.1)". The record is from RNAcentral. Lineage: Eukaryota; Metazoa; Chordata; Aves; Passeriformes; Paridae.